Molecule: ribosomal RNA, 526 nt
Filed under: uncultured bacterium
Lineage: Bacteria
Description: bacterial SSU rRNA
Rfam family: Bacterial small subunit ribosomal RNA
Source: RNAcentral
GACGAACGCUGGCGGCGUGCCUAAUACAUGCAAGUCGAACGCUUUUUCUUUCACCGGAGCUUGCUCCACCGAAAGAAAAGGAGUGGCGAACGGGUGAGUAACACGUGGGUAACCUGCCUAUCAGAAGGGGAUAACACUUGGAAACAGGUGCUAAUACCGUAUAACAAUAGAAACCGCAUGGUUUCUAUUUGAAAGGCGCUUUUGCGUUACUGAUGGAUGGACCCGGGGUGCAUUAGCUAGUUGGUGAGGUAACGGCUCAUCAAGGCAACGAUGCAUAGCCGACCUGAGAGGGUGAUCGGCCACAUUGGGACUGAGACACGGCCCAAACUCCUACGGGAGGCAGCAGUAGGGAAUCUUCGGCAAUGGACGAAAGUCUGACCGAGCAACGCCGCGUGAGUGAAGAAGGUUUUCGGAUCGUAAAACUCUGUUGUUAGAGAAGAACAAGGAUGAGAGUAGAAUGUUCAUCCCUUGACGGUAUCUAACCAGAAAGCCACGGCUAACUACGUGCCAGCAGCCGCAGUAAAAC